GCGAGCGUGGUUCAGUGGUAAAACAUCUCCUUGCCAA
This 37-nucleotide transfer RNA is filed under the name Oedochloa minarum. Its description in RNAcentral is "partial tRNA-Gly". The record is from RNAcentral. Lineage: Eukaryota; Viridiplantae; Streptophyta; Magnoliopsida; Poales; Poaceae.